Long non-coding RNA from Ananas comosus (pineapple), 1381 nucleotides. RefSeq lists it as uncharacterized. The record is from RefSeq and is a predicted model, not a curated record. NCBI's taxonomy places the organism in Eukaryota, Viridiplantae, Streptophyta, Magnoliopsida, Poales, Bromeliaceae. The transcript is spliced from 2 exons.
AACACCCUACACUGCACCUUCUCUCCCUUUCACCUACCUCUCCCCCAUCCUGUGCGAGCUCUAGCUCUCCCCCUCUCCUUCAUCUCUCCUCUCUCCUUCCUCUUCCGAGGCGUCCUCUCUGAGCUCCGAUCCCAUCCCCAAAUAGUCGUCGCUUUCGCCCCCGACCUUCUCGGCCCCCUGUGCACCGGCGCAACGUCACCAUCGGUCACCUUGGCGCAACGUCACUGUCCACUUCGCCGCUGCCAACAACAUCUAGAAUCUCUAGUUCUUCAAGGAGAUCCACUACAUCAAGUAUGCAUCCCUCCAUUCCCCUCUUGGAGAUUAAGUUUUUAUAGAUUGGGAGAAAAGAGGAGAUUGUGAUUCGGGAGAGAAAAUUGACCUAAAUAAAAUAUUAUCAUGAGGAUCUUACAAGAGUAAUCAAUCUUAAUUUCAUAAUGUACUCGUUAAGCUACUAGAAUCUGUCUCCUGUAUUAUGAGCUAAAUCUACUGAUAAUGCUUUCAAAGAAGUGAAUGAACUUUUCAUAAAAGUUUUCAGAAUGUGUGGUAUUUUAUGUGCAUCAAAAUCGUUCACACAAGUUUUCAUUUAGUGAAAGGGUAAUGUAGUUGGAGAAGAAUUAAAUCAAAAUGUUUUAAUUACAGAGACUUCUAGGCAAAGGUGUCACACAUGAUGAAGAAACAGUUAAGAAGAGAUGCUAGAUUGUCUUUACUUGUUCUAUGAAUAACUGAAUUUCUCCUCAACAGGUCAAGGAAAGCUAUGCAGAUUGUGGAAUGCAAUUUAUUAUUAACUUAUUAUUUUGUAUCAAUAAAUUAUUGUUUGGAAAUAAUAUUACUUCUAGACUCUUUCUCGCCAUACUCAAGUGAAUAUAUUAGUUGUGAACUUUUUAGUUUUUGGAAUCACUUGUGGCUCUCAGCUCUGUUUGUCAGUUAUAGUUGGUUUAUUCAACCUCUAAAUAGAGAAUAUAAUUCUUGCGCAACGUCGCCUCGGCCACGUUGAGCACCACCACAUCGCCGGCGUUGUCGACUUCGCCGCUGCCGACAACGUCUACGAUCUCCAAUUUUUCGAGGGGAUUCGUCGCAUCAAAUUACAUUGCGACAAGCUUGGUAGCCUGACGCAUGAAAUAACUCUUAGGAUCAAUAAAUGCUGUUUAAUGGAUACCAGUGGGGUACAUCUUGGCUAAAUUGCAGCACUGUAGCACUGUAGCACUAAUUGGAGUCCUCGGUCUAUAUUCUUCGUUCACCCUUAAUAAAGCUUGGAUUUUGAACAAGAUUAGGUAUAGUUGUUUGUUUCAGUGUAGUGCGCUUGUGUAGCUUUUUCGAGCUUUUUUGUAAAAAUCCAAUUGCAUGAUAAUUCGUUGAAAAUUGUAGAUUUAUGAAUUAAGCA